UCUCCGUUGGUGAACCAGCGGAGGGAUCAUUACCGAGUUUACAACUCCCAAAACCCACUGUGCACCUAUACCUUUACUGUUGCUUCGGCGGGGGUCUCGCCCGGGAAUCUGGGCGCCCGCCGGGGGACUUCAGCGCUCUUGUGUUCCUUAGCUUGCAUGUCUGAGUGUGGAGUUCGCGCACGCGAAACGAGAAUAAUCAAAACUUUCAACAACGGAUCUCUUGGUUCUG
RNAcentral lists this unclassified non-coding RNA (229 nucleotides) under plant metagenome. RNAcentral's name for it is "partial contains small subunit ribosomal RNA, internal transcribed spacer 1, and 5.8S ribosomal RNA". The record is from RNAcentral.